Long non-coding RNA from Rosa chinensis, 326 nucleotides. RefSeq lists it as uncharacterized. The record is from RefSeq and is a predicted model, not a curated record. The transcript is spliced from 3 exons. NCBI's taxonomy places the organism in Eukaryota, Viridiplantae, Streptophyta, Magnoliopsida, Rosales, Rosaceae.
AGGGAUUCAGAUUUGUGUUGUUGCUUGUUAUAGCAUCGCUGAAUUGGAUGGAAGAAAGAAUGCAUCCCUUUAAUCAGAUGUUGGAUGUAUGUCUGUCUUCAUUAUAUUCUAAGGUGCUUCUGAUGCUUGCCUUCAAGAAAUUCUUUUGAGCUCCAGAAAGUUGGACGGUUUGCCUCGUGGCAUAAUACAAGCUAGGUCGGAUUUAGAGCUGAGGCCUUUAUGGCUGACUAGUUCAAAGUUAACGGUUGAUUAUAGCAAUCACAAUUUACUGGCUAUUGCAGCUGGUAUUAAGCAGAAACAUAAUGUUGAUGAUAUUGUGCAAAAGG